This is a long non-coding RNA of Neopelma chrysocephalum (saffron-crested tyrant-manakin), 864 nucleotides long. RefSeq lists it as uncharacterized. The transcript is spliced from 2 exons. NCBI's taxonomy places the organism in Eukaryota, Metazoa, Chordata, Aves, Passeriformes, Pipridae. The record is from RefSeq and is a predicted model, not a curated record.
AGCCUGGAAAAAAACAGACCUUGCAGAGAACAGAACAACUCAUUACAGAAGUUCCCAGGUGUAUUCAUUGUUCCUGCAGAAACUCCUGGACUUUUUGUAAAUGUUUUUUAGAUUGUGACCUUUUGAUUUGCUGGGAUUGUGCUCGGCUUUGGAUCCACUCUGCUGCUCAGACCUGUCUGUUCCUGCAGUUACCCAGAACCAGCUGCUCUAAUCCGACAGCAGUUUUGCUUCUGAGCAGUUCUGGCCUUUGUAUUUGUUUUGGAAGAACAAUUCCAGAAGGAGCGGAGGUUGCCAGAGCAGGAGAUGCAUCUCCCGGGUGUUCAGGCUUCCCUGGAGUCAGAUACCAUUCAUCCAGAAGCUGAGCUGUCACCCCAUGUACUCCCCUGCUGAGGGAGGAUUCCCCUCUCUGGAUACCCCUGUCCAUCCCAGGACAGUCUGUCUGGCUGUCCCUGAAGUGUCCUGAGUUGGGAAUUGCUGGUUUUUUAUGGACUUGUUCCUGGGGCCGGGAGAGCUCCCUGCCAGCCUCCCCUGGGAGCUGUAUCCCAGAGGGAGAGGGGUGGCUGUGCCCUUCCUCAGCUGCACCACAAGAGCCCGGCUUGCACUGUUCCUGUAUUCUGUGGGAUGGGUUUUAAUUCCUGUUGUGAAGCAACAGCUUUUCCCUGGGCUUUGCUAAGCGGGGACUCUGCUGACAGGAGGAACAGCUUGAGUUCCCUCUGCUCGUGGCAUUGUCAGAAAUGGAUGGAGAUGGGUCAUGGUCACACUGCUUUUGAUGUUGAAGAAUGCUGAGCCCAGCUUGACACGUCAAUCCCAAAACCCAACAUCCCAGUCCAAUUAUCAGAAAAAAAUUAUUUAUUUUCCCUAUAC